RNAcentral lists this ribosomal RNA (403 nucleotides) under uncultured bacterium. RNAcentral describes it as "bacterial SSU rRNA". It matches the Rfam family "Bacterial small subunit ribosomal RNA", at positions 917 to 1322 of the family's 1533-position model. The record is from RNAcentral.
GGGUCCGCACAAGCGGCGGAGUAUGUGGUUUAAUUCGAUGAUACGCGAGGAACCUUACCAAGGCUUAAAUGUAGAGGGACAGGCGGCGAAAGUUGCCCUUCUUCGGACUCUCUACAAGGUGCUGCAUGGUUGUCGUCAGCUCGUGUCGUGAGAUGUUGGGUUAAGUCCCGCAACGAGCGCAACCCUCGUCCUAUGUUGCCAGCACGUAAUGGUGGGAACUCAUGGGAUACUGCCGGGGUCAACUCGGAGGAAGGUGGGGAUGACGUCAAAUCAUCAUGCCCCUUAUGUCUUGGGCUUCACGCAUGCUACAAUGGCCGGUACAGAGGGCUGCAAUACCGCAAGGUGGAGCGAAUCCCAAAAAGCCGGUCUCAGUUCGGAUUGAGGUCUGCAACUCGACCUCAUG